RNAcentral lists this ribosomal RNA (520 nucleotides) under uncultured Glomus. RNAcentral describes it as "SSU rRNA". It matches the Rfam family "Eukaryotic small subunit ribosomal RNA", at positions 569 to 1090 of the family's 1831-position model. The record is from RNAcentral. Lineage: Eukaryota; Fungi; Glomeromycota; Glomeromycetes; Glomerales; Glomeraceae.
AGCAGCCGCGGUAAUUCCAGCUCCAAUAGCGUAUAUUAAAGUUGUUGCAGUUAAAAAGCUCGUAGUUGAAUUUCGGGGUCAGUAGGCUGGUCGUGCCACGGGUACGUACUGGUCUUACUGAUUCCUCCUUCCUGAAGAACCGUAAUGCCAUUAAUUUGGUGUUGCGGGGAAACAGGACUGUUACUUUGAAAAAAUUAGAGUGUUUAAAGCAGGCUAACGCUUGAAUACAUUAGCAUGGAAUAAUGAAAUAGGACGAUCGAUCCUAUUUUGUUGGUUUCUAGGAUUGACGUAAUGAUUAAUAGGGAUAGUUGGGGGCAUUAGUAUUCAAUUGUCAGAGGUGAAAUUCUUGGAUUUAUUGAAGACUAACUACUGCGAAAGCAUUUGCCAAGGAUGUUUUCAUUAAUCAAGAACGAAAGUUAGGGGAUCGAAGACGAUCAGAUACCGUCGUAGUCUUAACCAUAAACUAUGCCGACUAGGGAUCGGAUGAUGUUAAUUUUAUAAUGACUCAUUCGGCGCCUUA